RNAcentral lists this ribosomal RNA (494 nucleotides) under uncultured bacterium. Its description in RNAcentral is "partial 16S ribosomal RNA". It matches the Rfam family "Bacterial small subunit ribosomal RNA", at positions 28 to 507 of the family's 1533-position model. The record is from RNAcentral.
GACGAACGCUGGCGGCGUGCUUAACACAUGCAAGUCGAACGGAAAGGCCUGCUUUCCCUUGUGGAUUGCGGGUACUCGAGUGGCGAACGGGUGAGUAACACGUGAGUGAUCUGCCCCCAACUUGGGUAUAAGCCUGGGAAACUGGGUCUAAUUCCCGAUAGGACUGCAGGGUGGUGCCUGUGAUGGAAAACGAUUUUCUAGUGGUUGGGGAUGAGCUCGCGGCCUAUCAGCUUGUUGGUGGGGUAAUGGCCUACCAAGGCGGCGACGGGUAGCCGGCCUGAGAGGGUGGACUGCCACAUUGGGACUGAGAUACGGCCCAGACUCCUACGGGAGGCAGCAGUGGGGAAUAUUGCACAAUGGGCGGAAGCCUGAUGCAGCGACGCCGCGUGGGGGAUGACGGCCUUCGGGUUGUAAACUCCUUUCGACCGCGAGGAAGCCACCUGGUUGGAAGGGUGGUGACGGUAGUGGUAGAAGAAGCACCGGCUAACUACGUG